This 71-nucleotide transfer RNA is filed under the name Loxodonta africana (African savanna elephant). It matches the Rfam family "tRNA". Rfam says of the family: Transfer RNA (tRNA) molecules are approximately 80 nucleotides in length. Their secondary structure includes four short double-helical elements and three loops (D, anti-codon, and T loops). The record is from Rfam by way of RNAcentral. Lineage: Eukaryota; Metazoa; Chordata; Mammalia; Proboscidea; Elephantidae.
GCACUGGUGGGUCAGUGGUAGAAUUCUCACCUUCCUUGUGGGAGACCCAGGUUCGAUUCCUGGGCAAUGCA